This 350-nucleotide unclassified non-coding RNA is filed under the name soil metagenome. RNAcentral describes it as "partial contains 5.8S ribosomal RNA, internal transcribed spacer 2, and large subunit ribosomal RNA". The stretch from base 1 to 120 matches the Rfam family "5.8S ribosomal RNA", at positions 35 to 154 of the family's 154-position model. The record is from RNAcentral.
GAUGAAGAACGCAGUGAAAUGCGAUAAGUAAUGUGAAUUGCAGAAUUCAGUGAAUCAUCGAAUCUUUGAACGCACAUUGCGCCCGCCAGUAUUCUGGCGGGCAUGCCUGCUCGAGCGUCAUUUCAACCCUCAAGCCCAGCUUGGUGUUGGGGAUCGGCACAGGCGCCCUCGGGCGCCCGCCGUCCCCUAAAUCUAGUGGCGGUCCCGCUGCAGCCUCCUCUGCGUAGUAGUUUUCUCCUCGCAAGGGCAGCUCGGUGGCGACCUCGCCGUAAAACCCCCAACUUCUGAAAGGUUGACCUCGAAUCAGGUAGGAAUACCCGCUGAACUUAAGCAUAUCAAUAAGCGGAGGA